Molecule: unclassified non-coding RNA, 280 nt
Filed under: Hevea brasiliensis (rubber tree)
Lineage: Eukaryota; Viridiplantae; Streptophyta; Magnoliopsida; Malpighiales; Euphorbiaceae
Source: RNAcentral
UGCUGAGAAAGUGAGAGACCACAAGGAUUUAGAAUCAAGAUGGGCUGUUUUACAAGAGACACGUGUUGAGUAUUUUAGAGGCAAGGAUUUUGUUAGUUUUUUGAGAAAUCAUCCAGAGCUCAAGGAUAUUCUUGAUUCAGAUAAAAAUUUGGAAACUGAAGAUAUUGGCAAUGCAUUGCUAAGUAAGAAUCUCUUAGUUCGGUGUGAUCGUGUAGUGAAAACUGUUCGUCCUGGAAAGAGAAAAUUGUCUACAUGGCCAGCACAUCUGGAGAUAUUCCCG